This 69-nucleotide transfer RNA is filed under the name Indotyphlus maharashtraensis. RNAcentral's name for it is "tRNA-Asp". The record is from RNAcentral. Lineage: Eukaryota; Metazoa; Chordata; Amphibia; Gymnophiona; Indotyphlidae.
AAAGUGUUAGUAAAUAAAUUACAUUAUCUUGUCAAGAUAAAAUAAUAAGUUAAACUCUUAUACAUUUUA